AUCAGGAUGGCCGAGUGGUCUAAGGUGCCAGACUCAAGUUCUGGUCUCCAUAUGGAGACAUGGGUUCAAAUCCCAAUUCUGACA
Molecule: non-coding RNA, 84 nt
Organism: Neoarius graeffei (lesser salmon catfish)
Lineage: Eukaryota; Metazoa; Chordata; Actinopteri; Siluriformes; Ariidae
Source: the annotation of a RefSeq genome assembly